UUUUCGCCAGUCCUGUAAUUCCAUACUUAGAUGUCCGUCUAUAUCAGAUGGGCGUCUAAGUUACCAAUUCUCGUCUGAUGGCUACAUACGGCGGUCAGUUUACGCUUACAAAACGAUAGUGGCUCAGGCUCUCAUUUUUCAGCGUUCCCCAGAAGCUUUCCAUCGGAGCGUUGUCGUAACAGUUACCUUUACCCAUAGAGGCGGAUAUAAGGGGAAUGCCGGCAGAGCAGCGGCUUGCUGAACGUCAGCGAAAAACGAAACCGCUGUUGAAAUCCCUGGAAAGCUGGUUGCGUGAAAAGAUGAAGACCCUGUUCU
Molecule: ribosomal RNA, 315 nt
Filed under: Escherichia coli 3-020-07_S4_C3
Lineage: Bacteria; Pseudomonadati; Pseudomonadota; Gammaproteobacteria; Enterobacterales; Enterobacteriaceae
Description: partial 16S ribosomal RNA
Source: RNAcentral